Molecule: regulatory RNA element, 38 nt
Organism: Facklamia languida
Lineage: Bacteria; Bacillati; Bacillota; Bacilli; Lactobacillales; Aerococcaceae
Rfam family: Selenocysteine insertion sequence 4
Source: Rfam
GGGACCUGUACACGUUGCGGAGCAACAAUGGUUAAAGA